RNAcentral lists this long non-coding RNA (502 nucleotides) under Zea mays. Its description in RNAcentral is "drought responsive lncRNA". Lineage: Eukaryota; Viridiplantae; Streptophyta; Magnoliopsida; Poales; Poaceae. The record is from RNAcentral.
UGUUGAUAUGUGGUCCAUGGUAGUGUUGGGCAAUCUGGAUGCAAGCUGGAAUAAUGUGAUUGUUUCUGUUUUUGUAAUUCUCUCAUAUCUCCAAAUUGCUAUGUUCACUCAUCUUGUUGUGACGGUGGUUUGGUUAGAUUAAUUUCACAAUAGGAUAGAUGUUGCCUGCCUUACAUAGUGGUUUAGGCAUUGAGGGUGACAAUAGUAUAUUAACAUCUAAUAUGUAUGAUUUUCAUAUUGCACUAUCUACACAGACUAUACGUUGGCUGUUUUGUAGCUUUGUUCUUCCUAAAACUUCUUAUAGCGUUGUCCUUCUCAUGGCAUAUUUAGUGCUUGCUAUUUGGACUGCAUGACUAGUUUUAGUUAUGCCACUAGUUCAAUGAAGUAAACCAUGUUUUCUGUAGAAAUGUUAUAUAGGAAAGUUGUAGAUAACUUCUUUAUCUUAAUUGUGUAAAAGUUUCAUGACCAUAGGCUUAGCAGUUUAGAAGUUAUGAUUUUUCCA